GGAGAUGUAGCUCAAUGGUUGAGUGUCUGUUUCUCAUGUAUGAGGUCCCGGGUUCAAUCCCCGGCACCUCCU
RNAcentral lists this transfer RNA (72 nucleotides) under Dasypus novemcinctus (nine-banded armadillo). RNAcentral describes it as "tRNA-Glu (CTC) (tRNA-Glu-CTC-14-1)". It matches the Rfam family "tRNA". From Rfam's summary of the family: Transfer RNA (tRNA) molecules are approximately 80 nucleotides in length. Their secondary structure includes four short double-helical elements and three loops (D, anti-codon, and T loops). Further hydrogen bonds mediate the characteristic L-shaped molecular structure. tRNAs have two regions of fundamental functional importance: the anti-codon, which is responsible for specific mRNA codon recognition, and the 3' end, to which the tRNAs corresponding amino acid is attached (by aminoacyl-tRNA synthetases). tRNAs cope with the degeneracy of the genetic code in two manners: having more than one tRNA (with a specific anti-codon) for a particular amino acid; and 'wobble' base-pairing, i.e. permitting non-standard base-pairing at the 3rd anti-codon position. Lineage: Eukaryota; Metazoa; Chordata; Mammalia; Cingulata; Dasypodidae. The record is from RNAcentral.